RNAcentral lists this ribosomal RNA (208 nucleotides) under uncultured bacterium. RNAcentral describes it as "partial 16S ribosomal RNA". It matches the Rfam family "Bacterial small subunit ribosomal RNA", at positions 30 to 237 of the family's 1533-position model. The record is from RNAcentral.
AUUGAACGCUGGCGGCAUGCCCUACACAUGCAAGUCGAACGGCAGCACGGGGGCAACCCUGGUGGCGAGUGGCGAACGGGUGAGUAACACAUCGGAACGUACCCGGUGGUGGGGGAUAGCCCGGCGAAAGCCGGAUUAAUACCGCAUACGACCUACGGGUGAAAGCGGGGGAUCGUAAGACCUCGCGCUAUCGGGAGCGGCCGAUGUC